This 253-nucleotide ribosomal RNA is filed under the name uncultured bacterium. RNAcentral's name for it is "partial 16S ribosomal RNA". It matches the Rfam family "Bacterial small subunit ribosomal RNA", at positions 524 to 776 of the family's 1533-position model. The record is from RNAcentral.
UACGAAGGGUGGGAGCGUUAUUCGGAAUUACUGGGCGUAAAGGGUGCGUAGACGGCAUGUUAAGUCCGCUGUUAAAUAUUCCGGCCUAACCGGAAAAAUGCGGUAGAAACUGGCGUGCUAGAGGGUGGAAGAGAGAAGUGGAAUUCCCGGAGUAGCGGUAAAAUGCGUAGAUCUCGGGAGGAACACCAAUGGCGAAGGCAGCUUCUUGGUCCAUACCUGACGUUGAGGCACGAAAGCGUGGGGAGCAAACAGG